GAUUUCUGGCUUGAAACAUUUUGCCAGCCACGGUUUCGUGUGUUAGUGCUUGAUGUUCUGGCCAUCCUUUCAAUCGCUAUUGGCAUUCUUCACUGAUUGUCAGUAGUAUUGAAUCUUUUACUUUGAAAAAAUUAGAGUGUUUCAAGCAGGCUUUAUGCUAUGAAUACAUUAGCAUGGAAUAAUAAUUUAGGACUUCGGUUCUAUUUUGUUGGUUUCUAGGACUGAAGUAAUGAUUGAUAGGGAUAGUUGGGGGUGCUAGUAUUCAGCGGCCAGAGGUGAAAUUCUCGGAUUCGCUGAAGACUAACUUAUGCGAAAGCAUU
RNAcentral lists this ribosomal RNA (320 nucleotides) under uncultured Sandona. RNAcentral describes it as "SSU rRNA". It matches the Rfam family "Eukaryotic small subunit ribosomal RNA", at positions 637 to 955 of the family's 1831-position model. Lineage: Eukaryota; Cercozoa; Glissomonadida. The record is from RNAcentral.